ARMMAAAGCAUUCGACAUUCGGANCACARCAUUCGACAACAUCAUUCGACAACAUCAUUCAACCACWACAUUCAACUCCAGCAUUCAACUACAGCAUUCGACAUUCGGACACAGCAUUCAACCACAGCAUUCAACCACAGCAUUCAACUACAGCAUUCAACAUUCGACCGCAGCAUACAACCACAGCAUUCAACAAAAGCAUUCGACAUUCGGACACAGCAUUCGACAACAUCAUUCGACAACAUCAUUCAACCACAAUAUUCAACCACAGCAUUCAACCACAGCUUCGACCACAGCAUUCAACCACAGUAUUAGACAUACGACCACAUCAUUCAACCACAGCAUUCGACCACAGCAUUCGACCACAGCAUUCGACAACAUCAUUCAACCACAAUAUUCAACCACAGCAUUCAACCACAGCUUCGACCACAGCAUUCAACCACAGUAUUAGACAUACGACCACAUCAUUCAACCACAGCAUUCGACCACAGCAUUCGACCACA
This 503-nucleotide small RNA is filed under the name Spisula solidissima (Atlantic surf clam). RNAcentral's name for it is "cnRNA147/168". Lineage: Eukaryota; Metazoa; Mollusca; Bivalvia; Venerida; Mactridae. The record is from RNAcentral.